UUAACCAGCAUGUUUGAAUUUAUAAAGUAAAUUCUUUAUAUAGCUGUUAAAGUAUUUUGCUAUUGCAGAGUAAAAAGCUAAUGUAAAGAUUUUACAUGAAUAAAACAUUAAAUUUAAUACCGAUUCAUGUCAAGUGGCAACUAACGAUUUAAGUUUAUAUUAAAACAAUAUUAAUUUACUUUAAAUCAAUAUUUCAGAAACUUCAAUCGUAUGAAUUGGGCCCAAUACAUCUAAGGAGUUUAAAGAGCUUAAUCAUCAAAAUCCUGUUGUCAGUUGUAUGGUAAAGAGAAAAAUUAUCCUUUUUUAGAUCAACGUAUUCCUUUCCUAAGGAACAUUCAAUUUCCAAUUAUUUUAGUAUGGUCAAGGACCCUCCCGUUGCCGGCGAGCUAAGCCCUCACUUCAAUCGUUCCAAGUAGGACCUUACUAGAAUAAAGAAAUAAUCAAACAACUUUCAAACUGAGUACUGCAACACCGCUUGUGACUGGUUGAUGUCAAUCAUUGAAUUUGGUUUCUAUUUGGUGACUCCUAAAUCCUUUUCAUUGAUGUUUUUCCUUAUCGUUGUAUAUAAAUAUUCUAACAUAUUUUCUGUAACUUCUGAAUUUGAACAUAAGUGAAAUAUAUUCAUAUAUUCU
This is a long non-coding RNA of Lucilia cuprina (Australian sheep blowfly), 632 nucleotides long. RefSeq lists it as uncharacterized. NCBI's taxonomy places the organism in Eukaryota, Metazoa, Arthropoda, Insecta, Diptera, Calliphoridae. The transcript has 3 exons. The record is from RefSeq and is a predicted model, not a curated record.